Molecule: long non-coding RNA, 426 nt
Filed under: Elaeis guineensis (African oil palm)
Lineage: Eukaryota; Viridiplantae; Streptophyta; Magnoliopsida; Arecales; Arecaceae
Description: long non-coding RNA (EGUI_LNC003979)
Source: RNAcentral
AUCAUAAGGUGGAAGGUGCCCAACGAGAGGAAGACGGACCUGCGCUCCUAUCUCUCACCCUUCUCCAGGUUUCUCUUAUAAAGACCCAUCUUUCCUUUACCCUGGCCUUCACCCAUGGCAAAGGGGGAUGCAAAGGGGAGUGUGGGGGUGAUGCCAUCACGAUGGGAGAGAGGAGUUUCUACAAAGAAAGAAGAUAGAAGAUUGAGUUUGUCCACUCGAUUAGCCUCUAUUUAUAGACACCAACAUCUACAUCAAUCGCUAAUCAAUAGCUGAAAGGGGCGUGGCUAUCCAUCAAGUAAUUAAUGAUGUAGCUUCCUAUUAUCACAAAUAAAUCCUGACAAUGCUACGCAGAUCGGGUCGUAGAAAUGUGGCAAUUCUUACACGUCCUAUGCUCUCUCCCAAGCAUAACCUUAUUAGAAAAGUCAG